Molecule: transfer RNA, 77 nt
Filed under: Alphaproteobacteria bacterium
Lineage: Bacteria; Pseudomonadati; Pseudomonadota; Alphaproteobacteria
Description: tRNA-Val
Rfam family: tRNA
About the family: Transfer RNA (tRNA) molecules are approximately 80 nucleotides in length. Their secondary structure includes four short double-helical elements and three loops (D, anti-codon, and T loops).
Source: RNAcentral
GGGCGCGUAGCUCAGUUGGUUAGAGCGCUUGCUUGACAUGCAAGAGGUCCCUGGUUCGAAUCCAGGCGCGCCCACCA